UCCCUGGUGGUGCAGUGGUUAGGACUCAGCGCUUUUACUGCUGGGCCCAGGUUUGAUCCCUGGUCAGGGAA
Molecule: transfer RNA, 71 nt
Filed under: Tursiops truncatus (common bottlenose dolphin)
Lineage: Eukaryota; Metazoa; Chordata; Mammalia; Artiodactyla; Delphinidae
Description: tRNA-Lys (TTT) (tRNA-Lys-TTT-21-1)
Source: RNAcentral